GAUGAACGCUAGCGACAGGCUUAACACAUGCAAGUCGAGGGGCAGCAUAGAAGUAGCAAUACUUUGGUGGCGACCGGCGCACGGGUGAGUAACGCGUAUGCAACCUACCUAUCAGAGGGGAAUAACCCGGCGAAAGUCGGACUAAUACCGCAUAAAACAGGGGCACCGCAUGGUGAUAUUUGUUAAAGAAAUUCGCUGAUGGAUGGGCAUGCGUUCCAUUAGGUAGUUGGUGAGGUAACGGCUCACCAAGCCGACGAUGGAUAGGGGAACUGAGAGGUUGGUCCCCCACACUGGUACUGAGACACGGACCAGACUCCUACGGGAGGCAGCAGUGAGGAAUAUUGGUCAAUGGGCGAGAGCCUGAACCAGCCAAGUCGCGUGAAGGAAGAAGGAUCUAUGGUUCGUAAACUUCUUUUGCAGGGGAAUAAAGUGCAGGACGUGUCCUGUUUUGUAUGUACCCUGAGAAUAAGGAUCGGCUAACUCCGUGCCAGCAGCCGACGG
Molecule: ribosomal RNA, 501 nt
Filed under: uncultured bacterium
Lineage: Bacteria
Description: bacterial SSU rRNA
Rfam family: Bacterial small subunit ribosomal RNA
Source: RNAcentral